AUAGCGUAUAUUAAAGUUGUUGCGGUUAAAAAGCUCGUAGUUGGAUUUCUGCCAAGGACGACCGGUCCGCCUUCGGGUGUGUAUCUGUGUUGACCGAGGCAUCUUUCUAGGAAACGCCUGUACUUCGAUGUGCGGUGCGUAAUCUAGAUCUUUUACUUUGAGGAAAUUAGAGUGUUUCAAGCAGGCAUAUGCCUUGAAUACAUUAGCAUGGAAUAAUAAGGUAGGACUUCGGUUCUAUUUUGUUGGUUUCUAGAACUGAAGUAAUGAUUAAUAGGGACAGUCGGGGGCAUUCGUACUCAACAGUCAGAGGUGAAAUUCUUGGAUUUGUUGGAGACGAACUACUG
RNAcentral lists this ribosomal RNA (344 nucleotides) under uncultured eukaryote. RNAcentral's name for it is "SSU rRNA". It matches the Rfam family "Eukaryotic small subunit ribosomal RNA", at positions 594 to 945 of the family's 1831-position model. The record is from RNAcentral.